AUACGUAGGGUGCGAGCGUUGUCCGGAAUUACUGGGCGUAAAGAGCUCGUAGGUGGUUUGUCGCGUCGUCUGUGAAAUUCCGGGGCUUAACUCCGGGCGUGCAGGCGAUACGGGCAUAACUUGAGUACUGUAGGGGAGACUGGAAUUCCUGGUGUAGCGGUGAAAUGCGCAGAUAUCAGGAGGAACACCGGUGGCGAAGGCGGGUCUCUGGGCAGUAACUGACGCUGAGGAGCGAAAACAUGGGUAGCGAACAGGAUUAGAUACCCUGGUAGUCCAUGCCGUAAACGGUGGGCGCUAGGUGUAGGGGUCUUCCACGACUUCUGUGCCGUAGCUAACGCAUUAAGCGCCCCGCCUGGGGAGUACGGCCGCAAGGCUAAAACUCAAAUGAAUUGACGGGG
RNAcentral lists this ribosomal RNA (398 nucleotides) under uncultured bacterium. RNAcentral's name for it is "partial 16S ribosomal RNA". It matches the Rfam family "Bacterial small subunit ribosomal RNA", at positions 523 to 918 of the family's 1533-position model. The record is from RNAcentral.